AUUGAACGCUGGCGGCAGGCCUAACACAUGCAAGUCGAGCGGAUGAAGGGAGCUUGCUCCUGGAUUCAGCGGCGGGCGGGUGAGUAAUGCCUAGGAAUCUGCCUGGUAGUGGGGGAUAACGUCCGGAAACGGGCGCUAAUACCGCAUACGUCCUGAGAGAGAAAGUGGGGGAUCUUCGGACCUCACGCUAUCAGAUGAGCCUAGGUCGGAUUAGCUAGUUGGUGGGGUAAAGGCCUACCAAGGCGACGAUCCGUAACUGGUCUGAGAGGAUGAUCAGUCACACUGGAACUGAGACACGGUCCAGACUCCUACGGGAGGCAGCAGUGGGGAAUAUUGGACAAUGGGCGAAAGCCUGAUCCAGCCAUGCCGCGUGUGUGAAGAAGGUCUUCGGAUUGUAAAGCACUUUAAGUUGGGAGGAAGGGCAGUAAGUUAAUACCUUGCUGUUUUGACGUUACCAACAGAAUAAGCACCGGCUAACUUCGUG
RNAcentral lists this ribosomal RNA (484 nucleotides) under uncultured bacterium. RNAcentral describes it as "partial 16S ribosomal RNA". It matches the Rfam family "Bacterial small subunit ribosomal RNA", at positions 30 to 507 of the family's 1533-position model. The record is from RNAcentral.